AUACUUAAAUGGCAGGGGAAAUACCAUGAUGACAAAAGUGGUUUUUCUAAGGUAAGAAUUACCGUUGCAGUCUGACCCCUGCAAUUUCUCCAAAUGUGGGAAACUCAACUGCAUAAUUUGUGGUAGUGGGGGGCUGUGUUCCUGCUCUUCCCUG
This 154-nucleotide small nuclear RNA is filed under the name Dasypus novemcinctus (nine-banded armadillo). RNAcentral's name for it is "U1 spliceosomal RNA (ENSDNOG00000042551.1)". It matches the Rfam family "U1 spliceosomal RNA". Rfam says of the family: U1 is a small nuclear RNA (snRNA) component of the spliceosome (involved in pre-mRNA splicing). Its 5' end forms complementary base pairs with the 5' splice junction, thus defining the 5' donor site of an intron. There are significant differences in sequence and secondary structure between metazoan and yeast U1 snRNAs, the latter being much longer (568 nucleotides as compared to 164 nucleotides in human). Lineage: Eukaryota; Metazoa; Chordata; Mammalia; Cingulata; Dasypodidae. The record is from RNAcentral.